GAAAGCAGGGGAUCGUAAGACCUCGCGCUAUUGGAGCGGCCGAUGUCCGAUUAGCUAGUUGGUGGGGUAAUGGCCUACCAAGGCGACGAUCGGUAGCUGGUCUGAGAGGAUGAUCAGCCACACUGGGACUGAGACACGGCCCAGACUCCUACGGGAGGCAGCAGUGGGGAAUUUUGGACAAUGGGCGAAAGCCUGAUCCAGCCAUGCCGCGUGAGUGAAGAAGGCCUUCGGGUUGUAAAGCUCUUUCGGCCGGAACGAAAUCGUCCGGGCUAAUACCCCGGAUGGAUGACGGUACCGGAAGAAGAAGCACCGGCUAACUACGUGCCAGCAGCCGCGGUAAUACGUAGGGUGCAGGCGUUAAUCGGAAUUACUGGGCGUAAAGCGUGCGCAGGCGGCUUCCUAAGUCAGAUGUGAAAUCCCCGGGCUUAACCUGGGAACUGCGUUUGAAACUACAAAGC
Molecule: ribosomal RNA, 458 nt
Filed under: uncultured beta proteobacterium
Lineage: Bacteria; Pseudomonadati; Pseudomonadota; Betaproteobacteria
Description: bacterial SSU rRNA
Rfam family: Bacterial small subunit ribosomal RNA
Source: RNAcentral